This 253-nucleotide ribosomal RNA is filed under the name uncultured bacterium. RNAcentral's name for it is "partial 16S ribosomal RNA". It matches the Rfam family "Bacterial small subunit ribosomal RNA", at positions 524 to 776 of the family's 1533-position model. The record is from RNAcentral.
UACGUAGGGUGCAAGCGUUAAUCGGAAUUACUGGGCGUAAAGCGCGCGUAGGCGGGAGGCCAAGUCCGCUGUGAAAUCGCCCGGCUCAACUGGGCGCGGUCGGUGGAAACUGGUCACCUGGAGGACGGUAGAGGCGAGUGGAAUUCCCGGUGUAGUGGUGAAAUGCGUAGAGAUCGGGAGGAACACCAGUGGCGAAGGCGGCUCGCUGGGCCGGCCCUGACGCUGAGGCGCGAAGGCGUGGGGAGCGAACGGG